GACGAACGCUGGCGGCGUGCUUAACACAUGCAAGUCGAACGGAAAGGCCCUGCUUUUUUGGUGUGCUCGAGUGGCGAACGGGUGAGUAACACGUGAGUAACCUGCCCUUGACUUUGGUAUAACUUCAGGAAACUGGGCCUAAUCCCGUAUCGGAUCUCCUGCUGCAUGGUGGGGGUUGGAACGUGUCGGCGGUUGGGGAUGGACUCGCGGCUUAGCAGCUUGUUGGUGGGCUGGUGGCUUACCAAGGCUUGGACGGGUCGCCGGCCUGAGAGGGUGACCGGCCACAUUGGGAAUGAGAGACAGCACAGGCGCCUACGGGAGGCAGGGGGGGAGAAUAUUGCAGAAAGGGCGGAAGGGUGAUGAAGCAACGCCGGGUGCGGGAUGACGGCCUUCGGGUUGAAAAGCGCUUGGGCCAGAGACGAAGGGUGAGUGAGGAUAAAGGGAAAAGAAGCACCGGAUAACUACG
Molecule: ribosomal RNA, 466 nt
Filed under: uncultured bacterium
Lineage: Bacteria
Description: partial 16S ribosomal RNA
Rfam family: Bacterial small subunit ribosomal RNA
Source: RNAcentral